AGCGUGUUAGGCAAGUAGAAAUCCGGGGGUGUCACAUACCUCUAUGCGAGGGUGCGAUUCCUUCACACGCUACCA
This 75-nucleotide transfer RNA is filed under the name Brevundimonas phage vB_BgoS-Bajun. RNAcentral's name for it is "tRNA-Val". The record is from RNAcentral. Lineage: Duplodnaviria; Heunggongvirae; Uroviricota; Caudoviricetes.